AACGAACGCUGGCGGCAUGCCUAACACAUGCAAGUCGAACGAGACCUUCGGGUCUAGUGGCGCACGGGUGCGUAACGCGUGGGAACCUGCCCUUAGGUUCGGAAUAACUCCCCGAAAGGGGUGCUAAUACCGGAUAAUGUCUUCGGACCAAAGAUUUAUCGCCUUUGGAUGGGCCCGCGUUGGAUUAGCUAGUUGGUAGGGUAAAAGCCUACCAAGGCGACGAUCCAUAGCUGGUCUGAGAGGAUGAUCAGCCACACUGGGACUGAGACACGGCCCAGACUCCUACGGGAGGCAGCAGUGGGGAAUAUUGGACAGUGGGCGAAAGCCUGAUCCAGCAAUGCCGCGAGAGUGAUGAAGGCCGGAGAGUUGUAAAGCUCUUUUACCCGGGAUGAUAAUGACAGUACCGGGAGAAUAAGCUCCGGCUAACUCCGUG
This 433-nucleotide ribosomal RNA is filed under the name uncultured bacterium. RNAcentral describes it as "partial 16S ribosomal RNA". It matches the Rfam family "Bacterial small subunit ribosomal RNA", at positions 29 to 507 of the family's 1533-position model. The record is from RNAcentral.